RNAcentral lists this ribosomal RNA (907 nucleotides) under Geobacillus bogazici. Its description in RNAcentral is "bacterial SSU rRNA". It matches the Rfam family "Bacterial small subunit ribosomal RNA", at positions 56 to 952 of the family's 1533-position model. Lineage: Bacteria; Bacillati; Bacillota; Bacilli; Caryophanales; Anoxybacillaceae. The record is from RNAcentral.
UGCAAGUCGAGCGGACCGAAUCGGAGCUUGCUCUGAUUUGGUCAGCGGCGGACGGGUGAGUAACACGUGGGCAACCUGCCCGCAAGACCGGGAUAACUCCGGGAAACCGGAGCUAAUACCGGAUAACACCGAAGACCGCAUGGUCUUUGGUUGAAAGGCGGCCUUUGGCUGUCACUUGCGGAUGGGCCCGCGGCGCAUUAGCUAGUUGGUGAGGUAACGGCUCACCAAGGCGACGAUGCGUAGCCGGCCUGAGAGGGUGACCGGCCACACUGGGACUGAGACACGGCCCAGACUCCUACGGGAGGCAGCAGUAGGGAAUCUUCCGCAAUGGGCGAAAGCCUGACGGAGCGACGCCGCGUGAGCGAAGAAGGCCUUCGGGUCGUAAAGCUCUGUUGUGAGGGACGAAGGAGCGCCGUUCGAAGAGGGCGGCGCGGUGACGGUACCUCACGAGGAAGCCCCGGCUAACUACGUGCCAGCAGCCGCGGUAAUACGUAGGGGGCGAGCGUUGUCCGGAAUUAUUGGGCGUAAAGCGCGCGCAGGCGGUCUCCUUAAGUCUGAUGUGAAAGCCCACGGCUCAACCGUGGAGGGUCAUUGGAAACUGGGGGACUUGAGUGCAGGAGAGGAGAGCGGAAUUCCACGUGUAGCGGUGAAAUGCGUAGAGAUGUGGAGGAACACCAGUGGCGAAGGCGGCUCUCUGGCCUGCAACUGACGCUGAAGCGCGAAAGCGUGGGGAGCAAACAGGAUUAGAUACCCUGGUAGUCCACGCCGUAACGAUGAGUGCUAGUGUUAGAGGGUCACACCCUUUAGUGCUGCAGCUAACGCGAUAAGCACUCCGCCUGGGAGUACGGCGCAGGCUGAACUCAAAGAUUGACGGGGGCCCGCACAAGCGGUGAGCAUGUGGUUAUUC